AUAUAUAUACACACGCACAACACACACACACACACACACACACACACACACAUUACGGAUUCUGAAGCACUUCUGGAAAUGACUUUCAGCAUUUAAGCGACUUGCUGCAAAUAUAAUAACAAUUAUUAUUGUUAUUUGUCUCCCAUCUCCACAUACAGAUUUUUGAAUAAACAAGUGUCAAGGUUACAAGGAAAAUGGGAAAAACUGAGUAACGUACUGUCAUAAAGUACCUUCAUUUGAAAGGCAUGACUCCAUCAGAAGUCCAUGAAGAUAUGGUGAGAACCGUAACAGACAAUGCUCCUUCAUAUGCAACAGUCAAACGAUGGGUAAAUGAAUUCCAGCAUGGCAGGGAGAGUGUGGAAGAUGAUCUCUGACCAGGGAGGCCUCCAACUGCAACCACCGAGGACAACCUUGACCUUGCUCUUGGUAUGUUAAUGCAAGAUCACUGAAUAUAAUGUCGUCAGAUAGCCGAGAGACUGGGCAUCUCAACUGAAAGAGCAGACAACAUUUUGACAAAAGAACUUGGGUUCUCCUCGCCUUUUCACUCCUGAACAGAAACGCAGCAGGGGCACUUUGUCCAUGAGCAAUCUGGAACUGUUUGAAGCCGAUGAAGAGAAUUUUCUUGCUCGUUUCAUUAUUAUGGACGAAAGUUGGGUUCAUCACUACCAGCCUGAAACCAAAGAACAAUCAAAGCAGUUGAAGCACUCAUCUUCUCCUACCCCCAAAGAAGGCCAGGGUCAUUCCUUCAGCUGGCAAGGUCAUGAUGUCCGUUUUUGGGAUUCUCAAGUUGUCUUGCUGAUCAAUUAACUUGAAAGGGUCACACAGUGACGGGGCUGUAUUAUUGUCGGCUACUAAAAUGCCUUCGAGAAGCAAUCAAAGAAAAAAGACCGGCAAUGCUCACCAGAGGAGUCUUUUUUCAUCACGACAAUGCUCCAACCGACACCUCAGUGGUUGCCAUGGCAACAAUUCAUGAUUGUGGACACAAACUUGUUCCCCAUCCACCUUAUUCGCCAGACUUAGCCCCCUCUGACUUUCAUCUAUUCCCAAAAAUGAAAAAAAGCCCUGGAUGGACGCCAUUCUGCCAGUGACAAUGAGGUCAUAGACACUGUAGGAAGUUUCUUAGAGUCUCAAACAAAAGAGUUCCUCUACGCCAGGAUAAUGGCACUUCAACACUGCUGGAGAAAGUGUUCAGCCAUCAAAGGGGAUUAUGUUGAAAAAUAAAUCAUCAGAAGUCUUGUACUA
Molecule: long non-coding RNA, 1242 nt
Organism: Octopus sinensis (East Asian common octopus)
Lineage: Eukaryota; Metazoa; Mollusca; Cephalopoda; Octopoda; Octopodidae
Exons: 2
Source: RefSeq, a predicted model, not a curated record